AUUGAACGCUGGCGGCAUGCCUUACACAUGCAAGUCGAACGGCAGCACGGGAGCAAUCCUGGUGGCGAGUGGCGAACGGGUGAGUAAAGUAUCGGAACGUGCCCAGUCGUGGGGGAUAACGUAGCGAAAGUUACGCUAAUACCGCAUACGAUCUAUGGAUGAAAGCGGGGGAUCGCAAGACCUCGCGCGAUUGGAGCGGCCGAUAUCAGAUUAGGUAGUUGGUGGGGGAAAGGCUCACCAAGCCGACGAUCUGUAGCUGGUCUGAGAGGACGACCAGGCACACUGGGACUGAGACACGGCCCAGACUCCUACGGGAGGCAGCAGUGGGGAAUUUUGGACAAUGGGCGAAAGCCUGAUCCAGCCAUGCCGCGUGCAGGAUGAAGGCCUUCGGGUUGUAAACUGCUUUUGUACGGAACGAAAAGGUUUGGCCUAAUAAGCUGAGCUCAUGACGGUACCGUAAGAAUAAGCACCGGCUAACUACGUGCCAGCAGCCGCAGUAA
Molecule: ribosomal RNA, 500 nt
Filed under: uncultured bacterium
Lineage: Bacteria
Description: partial 16S ribosomal RNA
Rfam family: Bacterial small subunit ribosomal RNA
Source: RNAcentral